GACGAACGCUGGCGGCGUGCUUAACACAUGCAAGUCGAACGGAAAGGCCCUGCUUUUGUGGGGUGCUCGAGUGGCGAACGGGUGAGUAACACGUGAGUAACCUGCCCUUGACUUUGGGAUAACUUCAGGAAACUGGGGCUAAUACCGGAUAGGAGCUCCUGCUGCAUGGUGGGGGUUGGAAAGUUUCGGCGGUUGGGGAUGGACUCGCGGCUUAUCAGCUUGUUGGUGGGGUAGUGGCUUACCAAGGCUUUGACGGGUAGCCGGCCUGAGAGGGUGACCGGCCACAUUGGGACUGAGAUACGGCCCAGACUCCUACGGGAGGCAGCAGUGGGGAAUAUUGCACAAUGGGCGGAAGCCUGAUGCAGCAACGCCGCGUGCGGGAUGACGGCCUUCGGGUUGUAAACCGCUUUCGCCUGUGACGAAGCGUGAGUGACGGUAAUGGGUAAAGAAGCACCGGCUAACUACGUGCCAGCAGCCGCGGUGAUACGUAGGGUGCGAGCGUUGUCCGGAUUUAUUGGGCGUAAAGGGCUCGUAGGUGGUUGAUCGCGUCGGAAGUGUAAUCUUGGGGCUUAACCCUGAGCGUGCUUUCGAUACGGGUUGACUUGAGGAAGGUAGGGGAGAAUGGAAUUCCUGGUGGAGCGGUGGAAUGCGCAGAUAUCAGGAGGAACACCAGUGGCGAAGGCGGUUCUCUGGGCCUUUCCUGACGCUGAGGAGCGAAAGCGUGGGGAGCGAACAGGCUUAGAUACCCUGGUAGUCCACGCUGUAAACGGUGGGUACUAGGUGUGGGGUCCAUUCCACGGGUUCCGUGCCGUAGCUAACGCUUUAAGUACCCCGCCUGGGGAGUACGGCCGCAAGGCUAAAACUCAAAGGAAUUGACGGGGCCCCGCACAAGCGGCGGAGCAUGCGGAUUAAUUCGAUGCAACGCGUAGAACCUUACCUGGGUUUGACAUGGAUCGGGAGCGCUCAGAGAUGGGUGUGCCUCUUUUGGGGUCGGUUCACAGGUGGUGCAUGGCUGUCGUCAGCUCGUGUCGUGAGAUGUUGGGUUAAGUCCCGCAACGAGCGCAACCCUUGUUCACUGUUGCCAGCACGUUAUGGUGGGGACUCAGUGGAGACCGCCGGGGUCAACUCGGAGGAAGGUGGGGAUGACGUCAAGUCAUCAUGCCCCUUAUGUCCAGGGCUUCACGCAUGCUACAAUGGCUGGUACAGAGAGUGGCGAGCCUGUGAGGGUGAGCGAAUCUCGGAAAGCCGGUCUCAGUUCGGAUCGGGGUCUGCAACUCGACCUCAUGAAGUCGGAGUCGCUAGUAAUCGCAGAUCAGCAACGCUGCGGUGAAUACGUUCCCGGGGCUUGUACACACCGCCCGUCAAGUCAUGAAAGUUGGUAACACCCGAAGCCGGUGGCCUAACCGUUGUGGGGGAGCCGUCGAAGGUGGGACUGGUGAUUAGGACU
RNAcentral lists this ribosomal RNA (1447 nucleotides) under uncultured bacterium. Its description in RNAcentral is "bacterial SSU rRNA". It matches the Rfam family "Bacterial small subunit ribosomal RNA". The record is from RNAcentral.